AGAGUUUGAUCCUGGCUCAGGACGAACGCUGGCGGCGUGCCUAACACAUGCAAGUCAACGAGAAAGGGGUAGCAAUAUCCCGAGUACAGUGGCGCACGGGUGAGUAACGCGUAGGUAAUCUGCCUUCAGGACGGGGACAACUCCGAGAAAUCGGGGCUAAUACCCGAUGAUGCAGCGGGAUCGCAUGGUCCUGUUGUUAACGGCCCGCAAGGGUGCCCGAAGAUGAACCUGCGUCCCAUUAGGUAGUUGGUGAGGUAACGGCUCACCAAGCCUGCGAUGGGUAGCUGGUCUGAGAGGAUGAUCAGCCACACUGGAACUGAGACACGGUCCAGACUCCUACGGGAGGCAGCAGUGAGGAAUAUUGCGCAAUGGCCGAAAGGCUGACGCAGCGACGCCGCGUGAAGGAUGAAGUCCGUUAGGACGUAAACUUCUUUUGCAGGGGAUGAAUGUCCCGAAUUCAUUCGGGAUUGACCGUACCCUGCGAAUAAGGAUCGGCCAACUACGUGCCAGCAGCCGCGGUAAUACGUAGGAUCCGAGCGUUGUCCGGAAUUACUGGGUGUAAAGGGCGUGUAGGUGGGUCUCUAAGUCGGUGGUGAAAUCUUGCAGCUCAACUGUAAAAUUGCCAUCGAUACUGGAGGUCUUGAGUACGGCAGAGGGAAAUGGAAUUCAUGGUGUAGCGGUGAAAUGUGUAGAUAUCAUGAAGAACACCAGUAGCGAAGGCGGUUUCCUGGUCCGUAACUGACACUGAGGCGCGAA
RNAcentral lists this ribosomal RNA (756 nucleotides) under uncultured bacterium. Its description in RNAcentral is "bacterial SSU rRNA". It matches the Rfam family "Bacterial small subunit ribosomal RNA", at positions 8 to 757 of the family's 1533-position model. The record is from RNAcentral.